GACGAACGCUGGCGGCGUGCUUAACACAUGCAAGUCGAACGGAAAGGCCCUGCUUUUGUGGGGUGCUCGAGUGGCGAACGGGUGAGUAACACGUGAGUAACCUGCCCUUGACUUUGGGAUAACUUCAGGAAACUGGGGCUAAUACCGGAUAGGAGCUCCUGCUGCAUGGUGGGGGUUGGAAAGUUUCGGCGGUUGGGGAUGGACUCGCGGCUUAUCAGCUUGUUGGUGGGGUAGUGGCUUACCAAGGCUUUGACGGGUAGCCGGCCUGGGAGGGUGACCGGACACAUUGGGACUGAGAUACGGCCCAGACUCCUACGGGAGGCAGCAGUGGGGAAGAGUGCACAAUGGGCGGAAGCCUGAUGCAGCAACGCCGCGUGCGGGAUGACGGCCUUCGGGUUGUAAACCGCUUUCGCCUGUGACGAAGCGUGAGUGACGGUAAUGGGUAAAGAAGCACCGGCUAACUACGUG
Molecule: ribosomal RNA, 468 nt
Filed under: uncultured bacterium
Lineage: Bacteria
Description: partial 16S ribosomal RNA
Rfam family: Bacterial small subunit ribosomal RNA
Source: RNAcentral